AGCGAACAGACGAGGAGCUUGCUCCUCUGACGUUAGCGGCGGACGGGUGAGUAACACGUGGAUAACCUACCUAUAAGACUGGGAUAACUUCGGGAAACCGGAGCUAAUACCGGAUAAUAUAUUGAACCGCAUGGUUCAAUAGUGAAAGACGGUUUUGCUGUCACUUAUAGAUGGAUCCGCGCCGCAUUAGCUAGUUGGUAAGGUAACGGCUUACCAAGGCAACGAUGCGUAGCCGACCUGAGAGGGUGAUCGGCCACACUGGAACUGAGACACGGUCCAGACUCCUACGGGAGGCAGCAGUAGGGAAUCUUCCGCAAUGGGCGAAAGCCUGACGGAGCAACGCCGCGUGAGUGAUGAAGGUCUUCGGAUCGUAAAACUCUGUUAUUAGGGAAGAACAAAUGUGUAAGUAACUAUGCACGUCUUGACGGUACCUAAUCAGAAAGCCACGGCUAACUACGUGCCAGCAGCCGCGGUAAUACGUAGGUGGCAAGCGUUAUCCGGAAUUAUUGGGCGUAAAGCGCGCGUAGGCGGUUUUCUAAGUCUGAUGUGAAAGCCCACGGCUCAACCGUGGAGGGUCAUUGGAAACUGAAAAACUUGAGUGCAGAAGAGGAAAGUGGAAUUCCAUGUGUAGCGGUGAAAUGCGCAGAGAUAUGGAGGAACACCAGUGGCGAAGGCGACUUUCUGGUCUGUAACUGACGCUGAU
This 703-nucleotide ribosomal RNA is filed under the name uncultured Staphylococcus sp. RNAcentral's name for it is "bacterial SSU rRNA". It matches the Rfam family "Bacterial small subunit ribosomal RNA", at positions 65 to 750 of the family's 1533-position model. The record is from RNAcentral. Lineage: Bacteria; Bacillati; Bacillota; Bacilli; Caryophanales; Staphylococcaceae.